AGUCAGAAAUAUUAUAAUUCUGAUGAAAUCUCACAGUACUGAUACAUGUGAGAUUUCAUCAGAAUUGUGAACAUCACAGCAGAUGCCUUUGUGUGAAAGUAACUGAGAAUAAAACACAGAAAAACAUGAAGGAGAUUUUUCUGGCCUGACUUUUUAUAGCAGAUAACCUUAAAAAUAUUCUGCAAUGUUCUGCAUAUAAAGUAUAUAAAGUUUAAAUUUCUUCAGUAUUGAACAGCAGAAAAAAUAGGCUUUCUUGUCCGAGGUCGUUUACGUGAAGAAAAGAAAAAGACAGCGGCCGACAGCGCUGUAAACAAUGGUAGGCUGGUGGUUAAUAAGCGGAUGAAUAAUGCAGAAAACAGAGAUUUGAGACAGGAAACUGUUCUUGAAGUACAGAGAGAGAGAGAGAGAGCUGUGCAUGAAGUGUGAUUUUAAUAGUCGUGGAAGCAAAACUGCAAAACGCAUGACAACAUUGAUCAAACGUGAAGCUCAGUUUGCUGCUUCUUUUGCUGCUGGCUCAGUGAAUUUUGGUUGGAGAGAGACAAAACCUGCAGCUCAGAAUCAGCGCAAAAAGACAUAAACACAGCGUGGACCCGACGCAUCAGAAUCGCUGAGCUCCGACAGCGUGUCCGUGUUUGGGCCGUCGGGUGAGAAAGCCGAGAAAGACAAAGCUGAUUCUGAUGCGUCGGGUCCGCUCUGUGUUUACGUCUUUGUGUGGAAUCCGUGUACCUGCUCUCAUUUGCUGUUUGGUGGUUGUUGAAAUAGUUUUGUGAGCUUUAAUCUGAGAAUCUGCCGUUUCUGGCAAAACACAGUUAUAUUUAAAAGUCAAUUCAGGAUUUAAUGAAUCGAUAUCGCUUUAUUCAAGCUACUCACCUCCCUCUUCCACCUGCACUUUCAACUGGACCACGGCCAAUCAGAGAGGUCCCGCCCCUUACUAUCUCUGAUUGGUUUAGUCCACGAUAGGGCAUAAUGUGUGUCUGUUGUUGACCACACGGAGAGUUGCAGAGAUUUUUUUUGUUUUUUUGUUACCGGAACAGUUGGUUGCACAGAUGCGACCAAAUAUUUUUUUUAGUCGCACAACUGAAAAAUUUGGUCACACUCUAUAGCCCUGCUUUAAUUCUGUUAGCAAGUACUAAAGCCAUAAUCUCAUAGUCAUUAUUGAGCAGACAGAUGGGUCUCCAAUUAUCAAUAAGAAGUAAGUCUUUGUUUGGCUUUGGAAUAAGUGUUAUGAGACCCUGAGUAAGAGUAGGAGGGAGGGUGUUAUUCUCUAUACUUUCUAUGAAAACCUGCAGUAAGAACGGAGCACUUCCUCUCCAUGGCCUUAUCAACAUCCAAUCUCCAGACUUCAGACUCUGCUCCUGAGGAGAAACAGAAUCAUCUGGCAGAUCAUUUGUUCUCAUGACUUCUUUACUUUUAAACAUUUUGAGCAUCCAAUCUGCUAAUGUGCUCUCUCUUCUGCGUUUCUAUCAUCACUACAGAAGACUAAAACUCUAAAUACUCUACCAUAUAUAAUCUCAAAGAGUCAGACCGUUCUCUGUUGGAGUAAUCCUCAUGUACAUCUUAACUAGUUCUAUACAGUCUAACCAUGUCCUGCCUGUCUCUUCCAUUGACUUCCUAAGUCUUAGCUUUACUGUGCCGUUAGUUCUCUUUGUGGGUGAUAUGAACAAUGAUGUUUUAGUGUUAUCCCUAGAUGCUGUGGCAUUAAUCCAAUCACUUCAUUUACAAAGUGUGGACCAUCAUCACUAUAAAUAGUCUCUGGAAUCCCGUGUUCCGAGAUGAUAUUCUUACAUAUUGCUUUGGCAACCGAAAUGGCAUCUGCUUCCCUAGUUGAUUGAUUGAUUGAUAUACCUUUAUUAGUCCUAGAGCUGGGCGAUAUAUCGAGUUUUUUAAAAAAAAUAUCGAUAUAUUUUUAUACGAGAUAUAAGAUGUGACAAUGGCUGUGUCCGAAUUCAGGGGAAGGAUGCUCAUAAGGACACUACCUACCUACGUCACAAGGUAGUGUCCUUAGACGGACGGGUAGUCAGGAAGUGAGCGGCUUGGACAGCCCCCUUUUUUUCUCCAUAGAAACUUUAUUGAACAAACAAUGAGUAUCCAACAUAACAGAUGGGCUGUGGACAGCCUCCUAGCCUGCAACUCCGCCCUUACUUGCGUGUUUUUCCGGACGCUAGCGCCACAGCGCGAAAACUUUAAAAUGGACCCAGAAAUGUCGCUCUGUUGUUUGGACAAUUUUAAUUUUUGAGGAGCUAGAAAAACCUUAUCGUCGUCGCCCGCACGUUUUGUACCUUAGGCUCAUCAGAGACAAACAUGUCCAGGUAAAAUAAUUUCCUUUAAUCUACACGCAUUUAGGAAUUACUUAGCUAAUUACACGGAUAAUUGAAAUAUUGCCAGCGUUGUGCCAAAAAAGUGUUCGCCUGCCAAAACUGAUUUCCAAUGUUUCCGAGUGUAAUAUGUGUAAUAUCUUUAUGUAUGUUGGUAAAUAGACUUCGGUGAACAUGGUUUACAAAGGGGUUUUAUAUAUACAAUAAUUACCUGUUGUUAAAGUAUCUUUAUAACUCUGGUUAUAAUGUAGGUACAAUCGAUAUAUUUGUUGCGCUGUCUGCUGUCCUCUUGGCCAGAUUACUCUUAAAAAAUAAAUUUCUAAUGUCAAUAAGAUUUUUUUUUUUUUAACUGGAUGAAUAAAGGAUAUAUAAAAGUCACUGCCAAAAACUGAUUGCAGCUUCUACCUUGUUACAGGAAUGUUGCUGGUGGCUCAAAGUGACUUGAUAUCACCAAUGAGGGACACAUUUGACAUGUUUCACAUAUUAUAGACCAACAAGUUAUUCAUAGCAGGUUAAAUACGAGCAAUCAGUUUAGGGCAAAAACCGGAAAUCGUUUUUUGGCAGACGAUCAUUUUUUUGGCACAACAUCGGUCAUUCUCACACAUGUACUGUAUCAUAUAAAAUAUAUAAACUAAAUAUCUUUGAAACGUAUAGAAUCUAAUCUUUUGUUUGUUUGUUUUUUUACAUAGCACUUUAUCAAACUGUUGUCUGCUACAGAGUUACAAGUAUUAUACUAAUAAUAUAGCAUCCACCAUCUCCUGCUUGCAUAUUUCUGUAAACAUCUUAGUGGUGUGGCAGCCACGAGUGAGCCCUGCAAACCCUGUGGAUGGACGAUGCAGUGGACAGUGGGAGGAAGCAUCCUAAAGCUCUCUUUGCAGACCACCCUGUGUGAUUCUCCACUUGCCCACCAGAAAAGACAAACCGCAGGUCUCAGUUGCAGCAGCUCAUCCACGUCUGAUCUUGCUCGGGCAGAUUCAGCAACACUGCUGAAAAAAAAAAAAAAAAAAAAAAAAAAAACACUGCCAGAGACUUCCUGUAAUCUAUUACAGUUGUUAAAGAAACGGUCCAGGAACAGGUCACUCAGGUUGAUCCUGUGUGAACAACUGAAAAUAUUGUUUUUUAUCUUUACAUACUGUGUAUUUGAAAUAUUCUUGUUUAAUUGUUAUUGUUAUUUACUUUAUUGCUAUCAAAUAAAUAUCCAAGUAAUAUUGUUCAAAGUUAGCGUUAUGUUCAUACGUGUUACAAAUGCCUGUAAAUCAAAUUGAGUUCAGUGACAAUUACUGUUUGUUUGAAUCAAUUUAUUAAUAACAUAAAACCUUUAAACUAAUGCAACACAUAUAACAAUGUAACAAAUAUAUUCAAAUAAAUAAAUUUCUCAAUACAUAACUCAUUUGGGAACUAAUCUUUCUAGAAGUGAAAACAGUCUGUCCAUCCUCUCCCUGCUCUCCUCUCCUCAGCCUCUCUUUGCUGCCUCAUGUCCUCUCUGAUGAGGUCUAGCAGCUCAUCAUCCCCGUCUCUUUUCCUCUUUCUCCCUGUCGUAGGUGGCUGAGUCGCUUCGUCAUCGCUGUCCAGUGGGCUUCCCACUGACCCCCUCUCCUGAGCCUGGAUACUUGCAAUCCUAAAGGCAGAGGAAAUCAAAAAUGACAGCAGGCAAAUAAAAACACCACAACAACUCUUAGUAAUUGCACAUUUAUUAACUUGUGUUCUUAAGAAUUAUCUUCUUGAUAACACACAUAUGUACUUUGUAUUCUUUAAAGUUAUCUCGUGUCUUCUGGCCUGCAAGGGGGUGACUUUCCCCUGCAGGCCCAUCUUCUCCAGAAUUGUCCUGAUCACACACAACAAAUAAGAGAAGAAAGGACACCAUGGCAACUAUGUUAAUCCCUAAGCCCAAAAGUUUUCACAGCAGAACACCAGAGGAACACCGUCUGGACAUCACAGGUUCUGUACAGCAGCGGUCCGUGAGUCGUUUGGUACCGGGCCACAGAGUUAAGGCUCCGGUGUGAAAUUUAUGGUUUUCAGGGGUUUUAUCAUUAACUCGGUUUCCCUGAGUCUUUCCCUUGUUGUAGUGGUGUGUCUUAUUUUGAAAGAAAUAUUUACACGUUACCAUAGCGACCAGAAAGCAUUAAGCGGCAGAGAGGAGGAUGUUACUGUCAAUAUUGGCGCAUUUUCAGGAGGACGCUGCUAAUAAAGUUACACAAUUACACAGUACAUUCACGUUUAUUAUUAUAUUUACAAAAUACCACAGUUUUUGUCUU
Long non-coding RNA from Oreochromis aureus, 4570 nucleotides. The record is from Ensembl. NCBI's taxonomy places the organism in Eukaryota, Metazoa, Chordata, Actinopteri, Cichliformes, Cichlidae.